Molecule: long non-coding RNA, 801 nt
Organism: Arachis duranensis
Lineage: Eukaryota; Viridiplantae; Streptophyta; Magnoliopsida; Fabales; Fabaceae
Exons: 3
Source: RefSeq, a predicted model, not a curated record
ACCAUGGUCACACCUCUUCAAGCAUGCAUUGAUGCUGUGUUGAGGUGAGGAGAAGCCACAAAGCCUUAUGCACCGCCUCACCCACUUCCUUUUCUUCUAUCUCUUGUUAAUAGUGCUUCUCAUUUUCUUUGAAACAAAACACGCACAACGUAGAAGAAGAACAGAGAAGGGAAGCAAAACAAAACUGAAGAGGAAGGAAGAAGCCAUCCGCAGCAAGAAGGAAGCCACCCCACCUCUCAUCACUCUGAAUCUUCGAAGCUUCUUUGUUGGUAGUGACCAUAGGCAAGAACUCUUCCCUUGCUUGAGGUGAGGUCAGCCAUUUGUUUUUGAAAGAGAGGCCAAAGCUCCAAUUCUAUACGGUUAGGGUUCUGAUUCCGGAAAGAAGUAAAAAUAGAAUUUUUAACUUCAAAAGAGACGGGUCCGGCAGAGGAAAUCUUUGAGUUUCGUUCUAACCGCUGAGCUAUGAGGAUCCGGCGCGCGGCGGAGUCUUCAUAUGGAGCACGUUUUGGACCUCUUUCUUGUACAAUGUUCGGAGAUCACUCCAGAGUUAGCCGCAGUGAAUCUUUCGCUCCUUUUUGAUGAUCUUAGUAUUACUUCCCCUCGCUUUUGUAGUACUUUUAGAGGGGUAGGACGUCUUAGUAGUUCGGUUCCAGUUUAGGAAACCCGUGUGAGGGUUGGGACUGAUUUUCUUUUUUUGUAUCUGUACAUAUAACUUGGUGUGAUACUCGGCUUUGAUAGAUGACACGUAUCCUUGAACUUAACUCGUGUAUAUUGUAUAUAUGUUUAUAUAUGUUAUUUUUG